AGAGCGAACGCUGGCGGCAGGCCUAACACAUGCAAGUCGAGCGCCCCGCAAGGGGAGCGGCAGACGGGAGAGUAACACGUGGGAACGUGCCCUUUGGUUCGGAACAACACAGGGAAACUUGUGCUAAUACCGGAUAAGCCCUUACGGGGAAAGAUUUAUCGCCAAAGGAUCGGCCCGCGUCUGAUUAGCUAGUUGGUGAGGUAACGGCUCACCAAGGCUACGAUCAGUAGCUGGUCUGAGAGGAUGAUCAGCCUCACUGGGACUGAGACACGGCCCAGACUCCUACGGGAGGCAGCAGUGGGGAAUAUUGGACAAUGGGCGCAAGCCUGAUCCAGCCAUGCCGCGUGAGUGAUGAAGGCCCUAGGGUUGUAAAGCUCUUUUGUGCGGGAAGAUAAUGACGGUACCGCAAGAAUAAGCCCCGGCUAACUUCGUGCCAGCAGCCGC
Molecule: ribosomal RNA, 444 nt
Filed under: uncultured bacterium
Lineage: Bacteria
Description: SSU rRNA
Rfam family: Bacterial small subunit ribosomal RNA
Source: RNAcentral